UGGGGAAUAUUGGACAAUGGGGGCAACCCUGAUCCAGCCAUGCCGCGUGAGUGAUGAAGGCCUUCGGGUUGUAAAGCUCUCUUGGCGGGGACGAUGAUGACGGUACCCGCAGAAUAAGCCCCGGCUAACUUCGUGCCAGCAGCCGCGGUAAGACGAAGGGGGCUAGCGUUGUUCGGAAUUACUGGGCGUAAAGCGAGUGUAGGUGGUUAUCCAAGUUGGAUGUGAAAGCCUUGGGCUUAACCCAAGAAAUGCAUUCAGGACUGGAUGACUAGAGGACCGGAGAGGAUAGUGGAAUUCCCAGUGUAGCGGUGAAAUACGUAGAGAUUGGGAAGAACACCAGUGGCGAAGGCGGCUAUCUGGACGGUUUCUGACACUAAGACUCGAAAGCGUGGGGAGCAAACAG
Molecule: ribosomal RNA, 403 nt
Filed under: uncultured bacterium
Lineage: Bacteria
Description: bacterial SSU rRNA
Rfam family: Bacterial small subunit ribosomal RNA
Source: RNAcentral